ACUGGUGGUGCGAUUGGUGUUGCUGUUGCGACCCGUCAACCAAGAAUCCAGUAGCUGACGAAGAAGAUGCUGGAGACGGUGAAAUAGUCAAAUGUUGCUGUUGUUGAUGGACUGGUGACGAUGCCGUCGAUGAUGACGAGGUGAUGUCCCAGCAAUUUGCGACGGAUGCACUUGGUGAUGCGAAUUGUUACUUUGUUGCUGAUGGCCGUGAUUUUGGUUUUGCUGCGAAGGAGUUCCCAAAUUCGUCGGAUACAUCCGAUAACCGCCUAUUCAGUGGAUGCCAUUGGCAGGAGGAAAGAAGGAAGACCCUCCGCUGGAGUAAUUUGAAGUCGUGGAGGACGAUGUUCUCGACGUCGAUGUCAAAGGUGAAGUUGGCGAUAAAGACGUAAAUCCGUUGCCGUGGAAACAUCCUCCACUUCCGCCACCAAAUAAUGAAACUGCGGUCGUUAACGCGUUGCUAUUGGAUGAUGUGGUCGACAUGCCGGACGAUGAGGAGGUUGCACCUCCGCCCAGGAGACUCAGUGAAGACGACGGGGUAUUCGAAUUGUAUCGUUGAUGAUGCGAUCCAUAAAGAUGUGACGAAAGAGAUGAAGCCAAUGAAGACGAAGGAUGUAACAAAGUCGACGAUGAGGAUGACGAAGGAGACGGCGAUGGAGGUGAGAUCAAAUCUUCCGGAUAAUUUGAUUGGUGGUGGUGGUGGUGGAUCAGCAAAUGUGGAUGAUGGUGCGAAUGGAUUACCGGAAGAGUUGAAGUAGACUCCGUCGCUGAUGCUAUUUGCUGUUGUUCUUGUUGUUGUUGAUCAGAAGGAGAGAAAGGACAAGUCGGUGAAUUGUUGAAGUGCUGGGCGAGUCCAGCUGCCGCCGCUGCCGCGGCAGCGGCGGCCGAAGAAAUGGCUGACACGUAAGAUGACCCAGUAGCGUAAUCCAUUUUUAACCUUUUUAUUUCUUUUGCAGUCGGGAGAAACGAGCGAGGAAAAUUAAAUUAACCCGAGAUUGAUUCACGAAACACAACGACGCACACGCAAUCAAGUAUUUUCGCCCUUUUUUAUUUCCCCCGAACGAGUGCAGUCAAAACGAGGAAGAAUGGAAGAAAGGUGGCUGCUGCGAGCGGGAGUCUACUUUGAGCUAGUUGUAUACUGUUCGAGCGCUGUCAAAUUGGCACCAUAUUCAAUUAUAGCCGCAGCGGCCGCCGAUGAUACAGAAAAGCUAAUGCAAUAAUGAAAUCAAGUUAAGCAGCGCUGAUCUGGUUGAGAGCGAAAGGGGGGCGAGACUGAAAAAUACGACUGCCUGGCCGAAGCUAACUAGCUUCGAACUGUAGAGACGGACAAACGAGGGCGAACACACAAGCUGCUUCAACGGGUGGACAACAACAGCCGCUAAAUUCCUCUUAUCGGCCUUAAUUCAAUCAACUCCUUCCGUCCCUGCCGCACUAUAUCCUCACAUGUAUAGACACAAGACACCCUUCGGAUCCGGAAUCGAAACUCCGCCCCUUAUUCCCUACUCCCUUCAGAGCAGAGCUCGAGACCUUCUUCUUUUGGAACAGUUAGCACCAAUCGGGGGCUAGGGGGCGGUUUGGUUCGUCUGGAUUGGACCAGCAGUGUUCACAUGUCCGGAUUUUCGGGGGGUUUGGAAUCGGCGCAGAUCCCGUCGUGCGUGAGAGAGCCUACUAACAAAGCUGAGGCUUAAACGAUGGCCGGUCAGUGAACGCGUGCAAACGUCUCGCUAAACUGCUCAAGACUAGAAUCAUGUAGCUGAUAAUAUGCAAGUGAAUUUCGUAGAAUUCUUUUGCAAGAUUGUACUAGAGGAAAAUUUGUUUUAUUGAAAAGGCUAGAAUUUGUUUGACAUUUUUAAUGUCAACAGCAAACGUCCCUUCGGUGUCUAGCCCAUAAUAGAGUGAAAAACUGAUUCGGUUUCAACGCAUUCUACAUCUGCGGACCAACAGGAAGAUGUUUUGUUAACAAAUUAUAUCCUUUACUACCAUUUAUUGACCAUUUCUACAAUGUAUCUGUUUUUGUUUCAGUGGUUCUUCCGGUUGUUGGAAAUCAAAAAGUGUACUGUGCUGUAAGCCUGUAAUCAUAUUGCAAAUCAUAGUCAAACAUUUUUGGUACAAUGUUUGAAUAGAACAUUCGUCGAAAUUUGAAAUUGAGUGAGCAGUCUAAAAAGCUGAGAAUAAUGAGGAAAAUUGCAUAAUGUGCUAUUUUACUAUUUCUCAUUCGUUUUCGUCUGCAUAGACUUAAACGUAUUACAAUGAUGUAUUACGUACAAUGUAUUGUCAAUUGUGUGGCGAUUGACAUUUCGUGUCAUCAAGUUAAGUCAUUGUAGUAGGUAGUUGGUAAAGAGCGAGAAAAUGCUCUAUGUGGUUUUUGUUAUCAAGUAAAUAUGCUUUCAAUCUGAUAAUGCAUACUACAACCACGGUGA
RNAcentral lists this long non-coding RNA (2417 nucleotides) under Daphnia magna. Its description in RNAcentral is "uncharacterized LOC116927961". Lineage: Eukaryota; Metazoa; Arthropoda; Branchiopoda; Diplostraca; Daphniidae. The record is from RNAcentral.